RNAcentral lists this ribosomal RNA (253 nucleotides) under uncultured bacterium. Its description in RNAcentral is "partial 16S ribosomal RNA". It matches the Rfam family "Bacterial small subunit ribosomal RNA", at positions 524 to 776 of the family's 1533-position model. The record is from RNAcentral.
UACGUAGGGGGCUAGCGUUGUCCGGAAUUAUUGGGCGUAAAGAGCUCGUAGGCGGUUUGUUGCGUCGGCUGUGAAAACCCGGGGCUCAACUCCGGGCCUGCAGCCGAUACGGGCAGACUAGAGUUCGGCAGGGGAGACUGGAAUUCCUGGUGUAGCGGUGAAAUGCGCAGAUAUCAGGAGGAACACCGGUGGCGAAGGCGGGUCUCUGGGCCGAUACUGACGCUGAGGAGCGAAAGCGUGGGGAGCGAACAGG